Molecule: ribosomal RNA, 1492 nt
Filed under: Klebsiella pneumoniae
Lineage: Bacteria; Pseudomonadati; Pseudomonadota; Gammaproteobacteria; Enterobacterales; Enterobacteriaceae
Description: partial 23S ribosomal RNA
Rfam family: Bacterial large subunit ribosomal RNA
Source: RNAcentral
CUAACUGGAGGACCGAACCGACUAAUGUUGAAAAAUUAGCGGAUGACUUGUGGCUGGGGGUGAAAGGCCAAUCAAACCGGGAGAUAGCUGGUUCUCCCCGAAAGCUAUUUAGGUAGCGCCUCGUGAACUCAUCUUCGGGGGUAGAGCACUGUUUCGGCUAGGGGGUCAUCCCGACUUACCAACCCGAUGCAAACUACGAAUACCGAAGAAUGUUAUCACGGGAGACACACGGCGGGUGCUAACGUCCGUCGUGAAGAGGGAAACAACCCAGACCGCCAGCUAAGGUCCCAAAGUCAUGGUUAAGUGGGAAACGAUGUGGGAAGGCACAGACAGCCAGGAUGUUGGCUUAGAAGCAGCCAUCAUUUAAAGAAAGCGUAAUAGCUCACUGGUCGAGUCGGCCUGCGCGGAAGAUGUAACGGGGCUAAACCAUGCACCGAAGCUGCGGCAGCGACACUAUGUGUUGUUGGGUAGGGGAGCGUUCUGUAAGCCUGCGAAGGUGACCUGUGAGGGUUGCUGGAGGUAUCAGAAGUGCGAAUGCUGACAUAAGUAACGAUAAAGCGGGUGAAAAGCCCGCUCGCCGGAAGACCAAGGGUUCCUGUCCAACGUUAAUCGGGGCAGGGUGAGUCGACCCCUAAGGCGAGGCCGAAAGGCGUAGUCGAUGGGAAACAGGUUAAUAUUCCUGUACUUGGUGUUACUGCGAAGGGGGGACGGAGAAGGCUAUGUUAGCCGGGCGACGGUUGUCCCGGUUUAAGCAUGUAGGCUGGUUAUCCAGGCAAAUCCGGAUAAUCAAGGCUGAGGUGUGAUGACGAGGCACUACGGUGCUGAAGUAACAAAUGCCCUGCUUCCAGGAAAAGCCUCUAAGCAUCAGGUAACAUCAAAUCGUACCCCAAACCGACACAGGUGGUCAGGUAGAGAAUACCAAGGCGCUUGAGAGAACUCGGGUGAAGGAACUAGGCAAAAUGGUGCCGUAACUUCGGGAGAAGGCACGCUGGUGUGUAGGUGAAGCCCCUGCGGGUGGAGCUGAGACCAGUCGAAGAUACCAGCUGGCUGCAACUGUUUAUUAAAAACACAGCACUGUGCAAACACGAAAGUGGACGUAUACGGUGUGACGCCUGCCCGGUGCCGGAAGGUUAAUUGAUGGGGUUAUCCGUAAGGAGAAGCUCUUGAUCGAAGCCCCGGUAAACGGCGGCCGUAACUAUAACGGUCCUAAGGUAGCGAAAUUCCUUGUCGGGUAAGUUCCGACCUGCACGAAUGGCGUAAUGAUGGCCAGGCUGUCUCCACCCGAGACUCAGUGAAAUUGAACUCGCUGUGAAGAUGCAGUGUACCCGCGGCAAGACGGAAAGACCCCGUGAACCUUUACUAUAGCUUGACACUGAACAUUGAGCCUUGAUGUGUAGGAUAGGUGGGAGGCUUUGAAGCGUGGACGCCAGUCUGCGUGGAGCCAACCUUGAAAUACCACCCUUUAAUGUUUGAUGUUCUAACGUUGGCCCCU